GAUGAACGCUAGCGGGGGGCCUAACACAUGCAAGUCGAGCGGUAUUGUUUCUUCGGUGUUGAGAGAGCGGCGUACGGGUGCGUGAGACGUGUGCAAGCUGCCUUUAUCUGGGGGAUGGCCAUUCGAAAGGAAGAUUAAUACUCCCUAAUAAAUAGAACGUCAUCGUUUAAUAUUGAAAGCUCCGGCGGAUAGAGAUGGGCAGGCGCAAGAUUAGGUAGUUGGUGAGGUAGCUGCUGACGAAGGCGCUCAUCUAUAGGGGGCCUGAGAGUGUGAUCCCCCAGACUGGGACCGGGACCAGGACCAGACGGCUACGGGAGGCAGCAGUGCGGAAGAUUGGUAAGUGGGUGCAAGCCUGAACCAGCGAGCCCGCGUGAAGGACGACUGCCCGAUGGGUUGUAGACUUCUGGUGGAAAGGGAUAAACGUAUCCAAGGGAGGGUAAGUGAAGGUACUAGACGAAUAAGCACCGGCUAACUACGUG
Molecule: ribosomal RNA, 479 nt
Filed under: uncultured bacterium
Lineage: Bacteria
Description: partial 16S ribosomal RNA
Rfam family: Bacterial small subunit ribosomal RNA
Source: RNAcentral